Molecule: ribosomal RNA, 244 nt
Filed under: uncultured bacterium
Lineage: Bacteria
Description: partial 16S ribosomal RNA
Rfam family: Bacterial small subunit ribosomal RNA
Source: RNAcentral
UACAGAGGGGGCAAGCGUUGUUCGGAAUUACUGGGCGUAAAGGGCGCGUAGGCGGCCUUCUAAGUCGAACGUGAAAUCCCCGGGCUCAACCCGGGAACUGCGUCCGAUACUGGAAGGCUUGAAUCCGGGAGAGGGAUGUGGAAUUCCAGGUGUAGCGGUGAAAUGCGUAGAUAUCUGGAGGAACACCGGUGGCGAAGGCGACAUCCUGGACCGGUAUUGACGCUGAGGCGCGAAAGCCAGGGGA